AGCGAACGCUGGCGGCAGGCCUAACACAUGCAAGUCGAACGAACUCUUCGGAGUUAGUGGCGGACGGGUGAGUAACACGUGGGAACGUGCCUUUAGGUUCGGAAUAACUCAGGGAAACUUGUGCUAAUACCGAAUGUGCCCUUCGGGGGAAAGAUUUAUCGCCUUUAGAGCGGCCCGCGUCUGAUUAGCUAGUUGGUGAGGUAAAGGCUCACCAAGGCGACGAUCAGUAGCUGGUCUGAGAGGAUGAUCAGCCACAUUGGGACUGAGACACGGCCCAAACUCCUACGGGAGGCAGCAGUGGGGAAUCUUGCGCAAUGGGCGAAAGCCUGACGCAGCCAUGCCGCGUGAAUGAUGAAGGUCUUAGGAUUGUAAAAUUCUUUCACCGGGGACGAUAAUGACGGUACCCGGAGAAGAAGCCCCGGCUAACUUCGUGCCAGCAGCCGCCGCGG
RNAcentral lists this ribosomal RNA (449 nucleotides) under uncultured bacterium. RNAcentral's name for it is "partial 16S ribosomal RNA". It matches the Rfam family "Bacterial small subunit ribosomal RNA", at positions 29 to 523 of the family's 1533-position model. The record is from RNAcentral.